UGCAUUAUGAAUACUCUACUAGCAAGGAACAAGAAUGAUCUACAAGAACACAAGAUGAGAGCAAUGAAGUCUGAAUCAAAAGAAGUUUUUACUAGUUCUUCUCUGGAAAAAGAGAUAUCUUGCCUGCUGUGGCUUACAAAAGUACUUAACUUAGGUUUUUUUGGCAAUGUAAAACGUGCAUAAUGAAAUGACCAAAAGGCCCUUAGAAAAACAUGAGUUCGACAGGCCAAUAGACGCGGAGCGACCUCGGCAUGUCGCUCCGACAAGUCGCUCCGGCCUUCGGGAGCGACCUCAGUGGGUCGCUCUGAGAGGUCGCUCCGGGCUUCGUUUUGUGUCGUCUCGCCAUGGAAACGCGAGCGACCUCGGAGCGUCGCUCUGGCAAGUCGCUCUGGGAGGGGUGUCUCGCGAUAGAAACGCGAGCGACCUCUCCAUGUCGCUCCGGGAAGGUCGCUUUGGGAGGGGUGUCUCGCGAUAGAAACGCGAGCGACCUCUCUAUGUCGCUCUAGCCAGGUCGCUCCGGGAUGUGUGUCACAGCGACUUCAUGUAGUCGCUCCAGGAAGUCGCUCCAGGCAGUGCUCAUCCAAAGAUCACUCUAAUCACCUCCUUUGAGCUCCAAAUGCUCCCAAAUGUCUCUAGGAACUCCAUGUGGUACUCCAAUACCUAAUAGAGACAUAUGUAUGCAAAAUACAACCUAGACAUGGCUAAAUCCUAAUCUAUAUGAUGAAAAUACACAUGAAUAAAUGGAUAAAACAAUGUGAAUAUGCAAGAUAUAAGUUUUGUGAGUGAUCAUUUCAACAUUUUCUUUGGUUUUUUUGUCCUGUGAUUUUAGAUAAAACAGGGUCCGGUCCUCCUUUGAUAUUCCUAUGUAGGACCCACUAUCGGCUUAGAAAAAGAACGCCAUUGGCAUAAGGGAAUUGCGGACAAAGGCUUUAAAUUUAAAGCACUGAUAUGUACCAAGAGAAACGAGAUGAUGUGGAUAACGAUGAAGAAGAAUAUUAAAGGGUCAUGAUUUUGAGGAUGACUUUUUUGUUCCAACUUUUGUAGGGUCAACGAACAUUUGGAGAUUUUAAUUGCGCAUGCGAUAAUUGAAGGGUUUGUUUAGUUUUCAGAUCUGCUUGUCUAGGCUCAGAUCCGGUCGGAGAGAAUAUCCACGACGGUAGUGAGUUGUGUGGUUCUGUCUUCUCUGCUCAUGCUUCGGUGUCUCAGCAAGAAGAACCCUUAAGCUCCGUUUCCGUCGUCCUCCGUCAUCGGUGUGUACCUUCGGCCGAGGGUUUCAAUCUAGUUAAUCUCUCAUGUAUUUUCGAGCUUGUCUUAGUUGGUGCUUGAUUCAGCAACGGUGUAGCAUUUCGCGGUGAUGUGUGGUGAGCAAGUGCGGGUUAUGGUCUUUGAGAAGUAGGUGGUUGAAGUAGGUGGUUUCAGACCACCUAUUCGUCUCUUAGGUUUGUGGAGGCCUUCCCCCGCCUUGUCAUUUAGUGUUUAUCCUGGUAUUCAUUUGGUCUCUGUUUUCCUCGUGGCUUCGUCUGGUUGAGACAAUAUAAAGAGGUUGAGGCGUGGAGGCUUACGGUUUAAGGUGCGGUUGAGUAUGCUGCUCUUGCGGAUGUUGUUACAUCCUGGUUUUAUUUGUUGAGUUCAUGGCAGUGGUUUGGUUGUUUUCAUCGUGAACAGGUGGUUCAGAUGAGGUUUAUGCUCUUCAUGAAGAAGUCAUCCGCGUUGCUUGCUCUCUUGCGUCGUUCGUUGCAAGAACCCCGGCUAGUCUUAGCGCAUUAAGUCAUUGUUCUUUUAUCUUUAAAUGGUUGUUUCUGGGUUUCUUUAAAGGGGAGUAGGUGUUUAGUUUCAGAUGUUGGUUAGUAGCCCGUGUGUUUGGGUUCUAGAUUCCCGAUUUUGGGCUUAGUUUCCGGUGAUAUCUUUGUAUUCCGCCGGCUUUAGUAUCUCAACCUUGUAUCGUUCCCAUGUUAUCAAUGAAAUUCAGAUGGAAAAAAAUUGUUUGUUACAAA
Long non-coding RNA from Brassica napus (rape), 1994 nucleotides. RefSeq lists it as uncharacterized. NCBI's taxonomy places the organism in Eukaryota, Viridiplantae, Streptophyta, Magnoliopsida, Brassicales, Brassicaceae. The record is from RefSeq and is a predicted model, not a curated record. The transcript has 2 exons.